Molecule: ribosomal RNA, 460 nt
Filed under: uncultured bacterium
Lineage: Bacteria
Description: partial 16S ribosomal RNA
Rfam family: Bacterial small subunit ribosomal RNA
Source: RNAcentral
CCUACGGGAGGCAGCAGUGAGGAAUAUUGGUCAAUGGACGAGAGUCUGAACCAGCCAAGUAGCGUGAAGGAUGACUGCCCUAUGGGUUGUAAACUUCUUUUAUAUGGGAAUAAAAUGUUCCACGUGUGGGAUUUUGUAUGUACCAUAUGAAUAAGGAUCGGCUAACUCCGUGCCAGCAGCCGCGGUAAUACGGAGGAUCCGAGCGUUAUCCGGAUUUAUUGGGUUUAAAGGGAGCGUAGGUGGAUUGUUAAGUCAGUUGUGAAAGUUUGCGGCUCAACCGUAAAAUUGCAGUUGAAACUGGCAGGCUUGAGUACAGGAGAGGUAGGCGGAAUUCGUGGUGUAGCGGUGAAAUGCUUAGAUAUCACGAAGAACUCCGAUUGCGAAGGCAGCUCACUGGACUGCAACUGACACUGAUGCUCGAAAGUGUGGGUAUCAAACAGGAUUAGAUACCCGGGUAGUC